CCUACGGGGGGCAGCAGUGAGGAAUAUUGGUCAAUGGCCGGAAGGCUGAACCAGCCAUGCCGCGUGAAGGUCAGUGCCCUAUGGGCGUUAAACUUCUUUUGUGCGGGAGCAAUAAGGUCCACGUGUGGGCCGACGAGAGUACCGUACGAAUAAGCAUCGGCUAACUCCGUGCCAGCAGCCGCGGUAAUACGGGGGAUGCAAGCGUUAUCCGGAUUUAUUGGGUUUAAAGGGUGCGUAGGCUGUGAGGUAAGUCAGCGGUGAAAUGCCCCCGCUCAACGGGGUGAAGUGCCAUUGAUACUGCCUUGCUGGAAUGCGGAUGCCGUGGGAGGAAUGUGUGGUGUAGCGGUGAAAUGCAUAGAUAUCACACAGAACACCGAUUGCGAAGGCAUCUCACGAAUCCGCGAUUGACGCUGAUGCACGAAAGCGUGGGUA
Molecule: ribosomal RNA, 432 nt
Filed under: uncultured bacterium
Lineage: Bacteria
Description: bacterial SSU rRNA
Rfam family: Bacterial small subunit ribosomal RNA
Source: RNAcentral